Clarias gariepinus (North African catfish) is the source of this 64-nucleotide small nucleolar RNA. RefSeq annotates it as small nucleolar RNA SNORD52. The record is from RefSeq and is a predicted model, not a curated record. Lineage: Eukaryota; Metazoa; Chordata; Actinopteri; Siluriformes; Clariidae. The transcript has a single exon.
UGUAAUGAUGAUUCAAUAGACUAGAGUCUCUGAGAACAUGAUGUCUUUUACAUCACACUGAACA